UACAGAGGGGGCAAGCGUUAUUCGGAAUUAUUGGGCGUAAAGGGCGCGUAGGCGGCCUGGCAAGUGGAAGGUGAAAUCCCUCGGCUUAACCGAGGAACUGCCCUCCAAACUGCUUGGCUUGAGUCCGGGAGAGGUGAGUGGAAUUCCCAGUGUAGCGGUGAAAUGCGUAGAUAUGGGGAGGAACACCGGUGGCGAAGGCGGCCACCUGGACGGAUACUGACGCUGAGACGCGAAAGCGUGGGGAGCAAACAG
This 252-nucleotide ribosomal RNA is filed under the name uncultured bacterium. RNAcentral describes it as "partial 16S ribosomal RNA". It matches the Rfam family "Bacterial small subunit ribosomal RNA", at positions 524 to 775 of the family's 1533-position model. The record is from RNAcentral.